UGUUUGAUGUUCUAACGUGGACCCGUAAUCCGGGUUGCGGACAGUGUCUGGUGGGUAGUUUGACUGGGGCGGUCUCCUCCUAAAGAGUAACGGAGGAGCACGAAGGUUGGCUAAUCCUGGUCGGACAUCAGGAGGUUAGUGCAAUGGCAUAAGCCAGCUUGACUGCGAGCGUGACGGCGCGAGCAGGUGCGAAAGCAGGUCAUAGUGAUCCGGUGGUUCUGAAUGGAAGGGCCAUCGCUCAACGGAUAAAAGGUACUCCGGGGAUAACAGGCUGAUACCGCCCAAGAGUUCAUAUCGACGGCGGUGUUUGGCACCUCGAUGUCGGCUCAUCACAUCCUGGGGCUGAAGUAGGUCCCAAGGGUAUGGCUGUUCGCCAUUUAAAGUGGUACGCGAGCUGGGUUUAGAACGUCGUGAGACAGUUCGGUCCCUA
RNAcentral lists this ribosomal RNA (430 nucleotides) under Escherichia coli. Its description in RNAcentral is "partial 23S ribosomal RNA". It matches the Rfam family "Bacterial large subunit ribosomal RNA", at positions 2211 to 2640 of the family's 2925-position model. Lineage: Bacteria; Pseudomonadati; Pseudomonadota; Gammaproteobacteria; Enterobacterales; Enterobacteriaceae. The record is from RNAcentral.